This is a small nuclear RNA of Gorilla gorilla gorilla (western lowland gorilla), 116 nucleotides long. Its record names the gene U5. It matches the Rfam family "U5 spliceosomal RNA". From Rfam's summary of the family: U5 RNA is a component of both types of known spliceosome. The precise function of this molecule is unknown, though it is known that the 5' loop is required for splice site selection and p220 binding, and that both the 3' stem-loop and the Sm site are important for Sm protein binding and cap methylation. The record is from Ensembl. NCBI's taxonomy places the organism in Eukaryota, Metazoa, Chordata, Mammalia, Primates, Hominidae.
UAUCCUGGUUUCUCUUCAGAUCAUAUAAAUCUUGUGCCUUUUACGAAAGAUUCCCAUGAAGAGGAACAACUCUGAGACUUAAACCAAUUUUUCAGUCUUGGUGCUUUGUAUAAAGG